AGGUUAAGCUACAAAGAGCACACGGAGGAUGCCUAGGCGCCAGGAGCCGACGAAGGACGUGGCGAACAACGAUAAAGCCUCGGGGAGCUGUAAGCAAGCUUUGAUCCGGGGAUGUCCGAAUGGGGAAACCCGGCUGUCUUCAUCGACAGUCACUACUCACUGAAUUCAUAGGUGGGUGAGAGGCAGACCAGGGGAACUGAAACAUCUAAGUACCCUGAGGAAGAGAAAACAAUAGUGAUUCCGUCAGUAGCGGCGAGCGAACGCGGAUUAGCCCAAACCAAGGAGCUUGCUCCUUGGGGUUGUGGGACGUCUCACAUGGAGUUACAAAGGAACCGGUUAGAUGAAGAGGUCUGGAAAGGCCCACCAGAGAAGGUAAAAGCCCUGUAGUUCAAAACCCGUUCCCUCCGAGACGGAUCCCGAGUAGUGCGGGGCACGUGAAACCCCGUAUGAAUCCGGCAGGACCAUCUGCCAAGGCUAAAUACUCCCUGGCGACCGAUAGUGAAGCAGUACCGUGAGGGAAAGGUGAAAAGCACCCCGGAAGGGGAGUGAAAUAGAUCCUGAAACCGUGUGCUUACAAGAAGUCAGAGCCCGAUCUAUGGGUGAUGGCG
This 608-nucleotide ribosomal RNA is filed under the name Paenibacillus polymyxa. RNAcentral's name for it is "partial 23S ribosomal RNA". It matches the Rfam family "Bacterial large subunit ribosomal RNA", at positions 1 to 601 of the family's 2925-position model. Lineage: Bacteria; Bacillati; Bacillota; Bacilli; Caryophanales; Paenibacillaceae. The record is from RNAcentral.